This 358-nucleotide ribosomal RNA is filed under the name Bacteroidetes bacterium R2A132. Its description in RNAcentral is "bacterial SSU rRNA". It matches the Rfam family "Bacterial small subunit ribosomal RNA", at positions 20 to 377 of the family's 1533-position model. The record is from RNAcentral. Lineage: Bacteria; Pseudomonadati; Bacteroidota.
UGGCUCAGGAUGAACGCUAGCGGCAGGCCUAACACAUGCAAGUCGAGGGGUAACAUUGGUGCUUGCACCAGAUGACGACCGGCGCACGGGUGCGUAACGCGUAUACAAUCUACCUUUUGCUAAGGGAUAGCCCAGAGAAAUUUGGAUUAAUACCUUAUAGUAUGCAGACUUCUCAUGGAGAUUGCAUUAAAGAUUACGGCAAAAGAUGAGUAUGCGUCCUAUUAGUUUGUUGGUGUGGUAACGGCACACCAAGACUACGAUAGGUAGGGGCCCUGAGAGGGGGAUCCCCCACACUGGUACUGAGACACGGACCAGACUCCUACGGGAGGCAGCAGUGAGGAAUAUUGGACAAUGGAGG